Molecule: long non-coding RNA, 779 nt
Organism: Capsicum annuum
Lineage: Eukaryota; Viridiplantae; Streptophyta; Magnoliopsida; Solanales; Solanaceae
Exons: 3
Source: RefSeq, a predicted model, not a curated record
AUUCUUGUACAUCUUCACACGAUCAAUAUUCUAGUUACUUCGUUAAACUUAUACAAUUCAUUAUAAUACGUUAUAGUGAAUACAAAAGAGAGGAGAAACUAGGUGCUAUACAAGUAGAGGUUGCUAACCAUCUCAGAGAAGCUAAUUUAUAAAGCUCUCAAAGAAACAUUCUGUAAUCAUUCAAGUUUCUCUAAAGGGAACCUCUUGUAACACACAAACACCAGAAGUAGGCACCACAAAUGUGUUUCGUACCAUGAUAAAUUUUACUACGUCUUUUACUGUACUUCUGUAUUUUUAUUUCUCGCUACCAAUGCUUCUUUGAUAUCAACACUGUUGUGCAGGAGAGUUGGUUAACUGAUCACACUAGUAAACUUAAGAGUUCAACUUCAUGCAAAAAAUGUUAGCAUCAAAAUCAAGCACAAGGAAAAGAGUUUUGGGGCCAUCGGAGAGCAAAAGUGAUAUCAUCAAAGGGAUCUAUUAUGGCCGCAUUGCGUUAAAACUGAUAAAGAGAGAAAGCACAACGUACAUGAUCGAACGGUCUGAAGAAGAAUGAAUAAGCCAUCAAUCUCUAUUAGGUGUAUUUUUAUUUUGGUUGAUAAUUAAUAUUAUCUCGUGUGUAAAUUUGUUUGUCGUUGUGGUUUCUCCAUUCACUUCACUUUGUAUGUGUUGCAUAUGCAAUAUCACACAUUUCUGCAAUUCAUUCUUGUGUUGAUACCUAAUUUUAUUCACGUUUCCACCAAUUUUGGCAGCUAGGGUAGCCUAUUUUCUGCAAACCUUGU